This 24-nucleotide non-coding RNA is filed under the name Arabidopsis thaliana (thale cress). Lineage: Eukaryota; Viridiplantae; Streptophyta; Magnoliopsida; Brassicales; Brassicaceae. The record is from RNAcentral.
GAAGAGAUCCCUUCUAACAUGCCU